This 332-nucleotide unclassified non-coding RNA is filed under the name uncultured soil eukaryote. Its description in RNAcentral is "sequence contains 5.8S rRNA gene, ITS2, 28S rRNA gene". The record is from RNAcentral.
AACGCAAGUUGCGCCCCAAGCCAUUAGGCCGAGGGCACGUCUGCCUGGGUGUCACGCGUCGUCGCCCCCCCACACUUCGGAGCCCAUCCGGCUCCCAGUUGUGCCGGGCGGAAAUUGGCCUCCCGUGCGCUUGCGCUCGCGGUUGGCCCGAAAGGCCAGUCCUCGGCGACAAAGAGCGCCGCGACGAUCGGUGGUAACGCUUCUAGCAUGCCUCGUAGCCCGUCGCGUGCGCCCGUCGUUCGGGCGACCCUCGUGUCAAAGACCCUAUGGCGUUGCCCGUGCAACGCUCGCAUCGCGACCCCAGGUCAGGCGGGAUUACCCGCUGAGUUUAA